Molecule: ribosomal RNA, 228 nt
Filed under: uncultured bacterium
Lineage: Bacteria
Description: partial 16S ribosomal RNA
Rfam family: Bacterial small subunit ribosomal RNA
Source: RNAcentral
UACGGAGGGUGCAAACGUUGCUCGGAAUCAUUGGGCGUAAAGCGCACGUAGGCGGCCCGCUAAGUCGGAUGUGAAAUCCCUCGGCUCAACCGAGGACGUGCAUUCGAUACUGGCAGGCUUGAAUAUGGAAGAGGGUCGCGGAAUUCCCGGUGUAGAGGUGAAAUUCGUAGAUAUCGGGAGGAACACCAGUGGCGAAGGCGGCGACCUGGGCCAAUAUUGACGCUGAGG